Molecule: long non-coding RNA, 93 nt
Organism: Eptesicus fuscus (big brown bat)
Lineage: Eukaryota; Metazoa; Chordata; Mammalia; Chiroptera; Vespertilionidae
Exons: 3
Source: RefSeq, a predicted model, not a curated record
GUGAUGAUCUGGAAACCUUUACAACACGCAGCAAAGAACCUCCCAGAGAAAUUGCUCACUGGAUAUGUGAUGAACCUCAGGUAACCGAUACAG